This 253-nucleotide ribosomal RNA is filed under the name uncultured bacterium. RNAcentral's name for it is "partial 16S ribosomal RNA". It matches the Rfam family "Bacterial small subunit ribosomal RNA", at positions 524 to 776 of the family's 1533-position model. The record is from RNAcentral. RNAcentral also lists the same sequence under 1 other name.
GACGAACCGUGCAAACGUUGUUCGGAAUCACUGGGCUUAAAGGGCGCGUAGGCGGUCGACCAAGUCCGGGGUGAAAUCUUUCGGCUUAACCGGAAAAGUGCCUUGGAUACUGGUCGGCUGGAGGGAGGUAGGGGCAGGUGGAACUUCCAGUGGAGCGGUGAAAUGCGUUGAUAUUGGAAGGAACGCCGGUGGCGAAAGCGACCUGCUGGACCUCUUCUGACGCUGAGGCGCGAAAGCUAGGGGAGCAAACGGG